GGGGAUUUAGCUCAGUGGCAGAGCUCCUGCUUAGCAGGGGCAAGGUCAUGAGUUCAAUCCCCA
Molecule: transfer RNA, 63 nt
Filed under: Cavia porcellus (domestic guinea pig)
Lineage: Eukaryota; Metazoa; Chordata; Mammalia; Rodentia; Caviidae
Rfam family: tRNA
About the family: Transfer RNA (tRNA) molecules are approximately 80 nucleotides in length. Their secondary structure includes four short double-helical elements and three loops (D, anti-codon, and T loops). Further hydrogen bonds mediate the characteristic L-shaped molecular structure. tRNAs have two regions of fundamental functional importance: the anti-codon, which is responsible for specific mRNA codon recognition, and the 3' end, to which the tRNAs corresponding amino acid is attached (by aminoacyl-tRNA synthetases). tRNAs cope with the degeneracy of the genetic code in two manners: having more than one tRNA (with a specific anti-codon) for a particular amino acid; and 'wobble' base-pairing, i.e. permitting non-standard base-pairing at the 3rd anti-codon position.
Source: Rfam by way of RNAcentral